RNAcentral lists this ribosomal RNA (596 nucleotides) under uncultured beta proteobacterium. Its description in RNAcentral is "bacterial SSU rRNA". It matches the Rfam family "Bacterial small subunit ribosomal RNA", at positions 54 to 652 of the family's 1533-position model. Lineage: Bacteria; Pseudomonadati; Pseudomonadota; Betaproteobacteria. The record is from RNAcentral.
CAUGCAAGUCGAACGGUAACAGGUUAAGCUGACGAGUGGCGAACGGGUGAGUAAUAUAUCGGAACGUGCCCAGUCGUGGGGGAUAACUGCUCGAAAGAGCAGCUAAUACCGCAUACGACCUGAGGGUGAAAGCGGGGGAUCGCAAGACCUCGCGCGAUUGGAGCGGCCGAUAUCAGAUUAGGUAGUUGGUGGGGUAAAGGCCCACCAAGCCAACGAUCUGUAGCUGGUCUGAGAGGACGACCAGCCACACUGGGACUGAGACACGGCCCAGACUCCUACGGGAGGCAGCAGUGGGGAAUUUUGGACAAUGGGCGCAAGCCUGAUCCAGCCAUGCCGCGUGCGGGAAGAAGGCCUUCGGGUUGUAAACCGCUUUUGUCAGGGAAGAAAAGGUUCUGGUUAAUACCUGGGACUCAUGACGGUACCUGAAGAAUAAGCACCGGCUAACUACGUGCCAGCAGCCGCGGUAAUACGUAGGGUGCAAGCGUUAAUCGGAAUUACUGGGCGUAAAGCGUGCGCAGGCGGUUAUGCAAGACAGAGGUGAAAUCCCCGGGCUCAACCUGGGAACUGCCUUUGUGACUGCAUGGCUAGAGUACGGU